AAGAUUUUAAGUUAAAUAAACUAGAAGCCUUCAAAGCUUAAAAUAAAAAGUAUUUUAAAUCUUA
RNAcentral lists this transfer RNA (64 nucleotides) under Longpotamon depressum. RNAcentral describes it as "tRNA-Trp". The record is from RNAcentral. Lineage: Eukaryota; Metazoa; Arthropoda; Malacostraca; Decapoda; Potamidae.